GGCCGGUACAAAGGGUCGCAAUACCGCGAGGUGGAGCUAAUCCCAAAAAGCCGGUCUCAGUUCGGAUUGGAGUCUGCAACUCGACUCCAUGAAGUCGGAAUCGCUAGUAAUCGCGUAUCAGCGUGACCGCGGUCGAAUACGUUCCCGGGCCUU
Molecule: ribosomal RNA, 153 nt
Filed under: uncultured Geothermobacter sp.
Lineage: Bacteria; Pseudomonadati; Thermodesulfobacteriota; Desulfuromonadia; Desulfuromonadales; Geothermobacteraceae
Description: partial 16S ribosomal RNA
Rfam family: Bacterial small subunit ribosomal RNA
Source: RNAcentral